Molecule: ribosomal RNA, 424 nt
Filed under: uncultured bacterium
Lineage: Bacteria
Description: SSU rRNA
Rfam family: Bacterial small subunit ribosomal RNA
Source: RNAcentral
CAAUGGGGGAAACCCUGAUGCAGCANCGCCGCGUGAGUGAAGAAGUAUUUCCCNUAUGUAAAGCUCUAUCAGCAGGGNAAGAUAAUGACGGUACCUGACUAAGAAGCUCCGGCUAAAUACGUGCCAGCAGCCGCGGUAAUACGUAUGGAGCAAGCGUUAUCCGGAUUUACUGGGUGUAAAGGGUGCGUAGGUGGCAGUGCAAGUCAGAUGUGAAAGGCCGGGGCUCAACCCCGGAGCUGCAUUUGAAACUGCAUAGCUAGAGUACAGGAGAGGCAGGCGGAAUUCCUAGUGUAGCGGUGAAAUGCGUAGAUAUUAGGAGGAACACCAGUGGCGAAGGCGGCCUGCUGGACUGUUACUGACACUGAGGCACGAAAGCGUGGGGAGCAAACAGGAUUAGAUACCCUGGUAGUCCAAGGGCGAAUUC